GACGAACGCUGGCGGCGUGCUUAACACAUGCAAGUCGAGCGGUAAGGCCCUUUCGGGGGUACGACGAGCGGCGAACGGGUGAGUAACACGUGGGUGACCUGCCCUCAGCUCUGGGAUAAGCCUGGGAAACCGGGUCUAAUACUGGAUAUGACUCCAUGACGCAUGUUGUGGGGUGGAAAGCCUUGUGCGGCUGAGGAUGGGCCCGCGGCCUAUCAGCUUGUUGGUGGGGUGAGGCCUACCAAGGCGACGACGGGUAGCCGGCCUGAGAGGGCGACCGGCCACACUGGGACUGAGACACGGCCCAGACUCCUACGGGA
RNAcentral lists this ribosomal RNA (317 nucleotides) under uncultured bacterium. RNAcentral's name for it is "bacterial SSU rRNA". It matches the Rfam family "Bacterial small subunit ribosomal RNA", at positions 28 to 346 of the family's 1533-position model. The record is from RNAcentral.